Molecule: ribosomal RNA, 387 nt
Filed under: Pyramimonadales sp.
Lineage: Eukaryota; Viridiplantae; Chlorophyta; Pyramimonadophyceae; Pyramimonadales
Description: partial small subunit ribosomal RNA
Rfam family: Eukaryotic small subunit ribosomal RNA
Source: RNAcentral
AUUCCAGCUCCAAUAGCGUAUAUUUAAGUUGUUGCAGUUAAAAAGCUCGUAGUUGGAUUUCGGAUGGGUUUGACCGGUCCGCCUUUGGUGUGCACUGGUCGCGCCUAUCUUGCUGUCGGGGACGCGCUCCUGGCCUUAAUUGGCUGGGACGCGGAGUCGGCGAUGUUACUUUGAAAAAAUUAGAGUGUUCAAAGCAGGCCUAAGCUCUGAAUACAUUAGCAUGGAAUAACGCUAUAGGACUCUGGUCUUAUUGCGUUGGUCUUCGAGACCGGAGUAAUGAUUAAUAGGGACAAUUGGGGGGAUUCGUAUUAUGGCGUCAGAGGUGGAAUUCUUGGAUUGCCAUAUGACGAACUACUGCGAAAGCAUUUCUCAGGGAUGUUUUCAUCG